UAGUUUUUAUGGUCUCUAGUUUUUAAUUUAAACAACUAAGAUGUAGCCUAGUUCUAAAUCCUUUAAGAUUUUGUAGACUUCUUAAAUCUUUGGAUAUUUUUUUUUUCCUUUAAACUAAGCAAAGAGAGCAUUUGAUGUUAAUAUUCACAAUAUACCAUAAUCUUUAUUUAUUAAAAUUCACCCCUUUGUAACAAACAAUUUAUAUAAAUACUUCUUCUUUCUAUGUUUGGAGCUUAAAUCAUAUAUUUU
RNAcentral lists this long non-coding RNA (249 nucleotides) under Physcomitrium patens. RNAcentral describes it as "long non-coding RNA (PPAT_LNC005180)". Lineage: Eukaryota; Viridiplantae; Streptophyta; Bryopsida; Funariales; Funariaceae. The record is from RNAcentral.